GGGGAGCGCUGGAUCCUGGGCUAUGUCCCCCUGGCGCCUUGUGCUCCAGGGCCUGCGCUGCUGGACUUGCACCUCUGGACCACUCAGCUCACU
This 93-nucleotide microRNA precursor is filed under the name Canis lupus familiaris (dog). Its description in RNAcentral is "mir-8799 microRNA precursor family". It matches the Rfam family "mir-8799 microRNA precursor family". RNAcentral also lists the same sequence under 1 other name. Lineage: Eukaryota; Metazoa; Chordata; Mammalia; Carnivora; Canidae. The record is from Rfam by way of RNAcentral.